UUUUGACCUCGGAUCAGGUAGGGAUACCCGCUGAACUUAAGCAUAUCAAUAAGCGGAGGAAAAGAAGCCAACAGGGAUUGCCCUAGUAACGGCGAGUGAAGCGGCAACAGCUCAAAUUUGAAAUCUGGCUCUUUUAGAGUCCGAGUUGUAAUUUGCAGAGGGCGCUUUGGCUUUGGCAGCGGUCCAAGUUCCUUGGAACAGGACGUCACAGAGGGUGAGAAUCCCGUACGUGGUCGCUGGCUAUUGCCGUGUAAAGCCCCUUCGACGAGUCGAGUUGUUUGGGAAUGCAGCUCUAAAUGGGAGGUACAUUUCUUCUAAAGCUAAAUAUUGGCCAGAGACCGAUAGCGCACAAGUAGAGUGAUCGAAAGAUGAAAAGCACUUUGGAAAGAGAGUCAAACAGCACGUGAAAUUGUUGAAAGGGAAGCGCUUGCAGCCAGACUUGCUUGCAGUUGCUCAUCCGGGCUUUUGCCCGGUGCACUCUUCUGUAGGCAGGCCAGCAUCAGUUUGGGCGGUGGGAUAAAGGUCUCUGUCACGUACCUCUCUUCGGGAAGGCCUUAUAGGGGAGACGACAUACCACCAGCCUGGACUGAGGUCCGCGCAUCUGCUAGGAUGCUGGCGUAAUGGCUGUAAGCGGC
RNAcentral lists this ribosomal RNA (635 nucleotides) under Alternaria papavericola. RNAcentral's name for it is "eukaryotic LSU rRNA". It matches the Rfam family "Eukaryotic large subunit ribosomal RNA", at positions 1 to 648 of the family's 3401-position model. Lineage: Eukaryota; Fungi; Ascomycota; Dothideomycetes; Pleosporales; Pleosporaceae. The record is from RNAcentral.